This 75-nucleotide non-coding RNA is filed under the name Elusimicrobiota bacterium. RNAcentral describes it as "Elusimicrobia bacterium c-di-GMP sequence". It matches the Rfam family "c-di-GMP-I riboswitch aptamer". From Rfam's summary of the family: GEMM was predicted in a large-scale screen for bacterial structured RNA regulatory elements. Genes associated with GEMM are involved in a diverse array of functions, including chemotaxis regulation, signal transduction, secretion and chitin. Lineage: Bacteria; Pseudomonadati; Elusimicrobiota. The record is from RNAcentral.
CAGCGAAAAUAGCAAAACCGCCGCAAGGCGGUGACGCAAAGCCGAGGGUCCCCAUGGGAUGGCCGGGUUGCCGAA